GAUGGACAACUGGUUGAUAUUCCAGUACCACCAUAAUGCGUUUGACAAAUGGGAUGACGCAGGAGGAUAGGAUGUGCGCACUAUUGGAUGUGCGUCUAAGCACUUAGGGUGUUAAGUAGGCAAAUCCGCUUAACAUUAAGCCUGAGGUGUGAUGGGGAGCCUAUUUUGGCGAAGUAUCUGAUUCCACGCUGCCAAGAAAAGUCUCUAUGGAGCAAAAUGGUGCCCGUACCGCAAACCGACACAGGUAGAUGAGGAGAGAAUCCUAAGGUCGUCGGAAGAAUUAUUGCUAAGGAACUCGGCAAAUUGACCCCGUAACUUAGGGAGAAGGGGUGCCUACGAGAGUAGGCCGCAGUGAAUAGGCUCAAGCAACUGUUUAUCAAAAACACAGGUCUCUGCUAAAGCGCAAGCUGAUGUAUAGGGGCUGACGCCUGCCCGGUGCUGGAAGGUUAAGGGGAAUAGUUAGCGCAAGCGAAGCUAUGAACUUAAGCCCCAGUAAACGGCGGCCGUAACUAUAACGGUCCUAAGGUAGCGAAAUUCCUUGUCGGGUAAGUUCCGACCCGCACGAAUGGCGUAAUGAUUUGAGCACUGUCUCGGCAAUAAAUCCGGUGAAAUUGUAGUGCAAGUGAAGAUGCUUGCUACCCGCGGUUGGACGGAAAGACCCCGUAGAGCUUUACUGUAGCUUAGCAUUGAAUUUCGGUAUUGUCUGUACAGGAUAGGUGGGAGACUUAGAAGCGAGGGCGUCAGCUUUCGUGGAGUCGUCCUUGGGAUACCACCCUGACAGUACUGGAAUUCUAACUGGAGGCCAUGAAUCUGGUCACAGGACAUUGCUAGGUGGGCAGUUUGACUGGGGCGGUCGCCUCCUAAAAGGUAACGGAGGCGCCCAAAGGUUCCCUCAGCGCGG
This 901-nucleotide ribosomal RNA is filed under the name Clostridium botulinum C/D str. BKT2873. RNAcentral describes it as "bacterial LSU rRNA". It matches the Rfam family "Bacterial large subunit ribosomal RNA", at positions 1417 to 2330 of the family's 2925-position model. The record is from RNAcentral. Lineage: Bacteria; Bacillati; Bacillota; Clostridia; Eubacteriales; Clostridiaceae.